CUUUAGCUCAGUUGGCCAGAGCACUCGAUUUGUAAUCCUGGGGUCGUUGGUUCGAAUCCGACAA
This 64-nucleotide transfer RNA is filed under the name uncultured Alloprevotella sp. It matches the Rfam family "tRNA", at positions 6 to 65 of the family's 71-position model. From Rfam's summary of the family: Transfer RNA (tRNA) molecules are approximately 80 nucleotides in length. The record is from RNAcentral. Lineage: Bacteria; Pseudomonadati; Bacteroidota; Bacteroidia; Bacteroidales; Prevotellaceae.